This 76-nucleotide transfer RNA is filed under the name Candidatus Moranbacteria bacterium RIFCSPHIGHO2_02_FULL_40_12b. RNAcentral describes it as "tRNA-Lys". It matches the Rfam family "tRNA". Rfam says of the family: Transfer RNA (tRNA) molecules are approximately 80 nucleotides in length. Their secondary structure includes four short double-helical elements and three loops (D, anti-codon, and T loops). Further hydrogen bonds mediate the characteristic L-shaped molecular structure. tRNAs have two regions of fundamental functional importance: the anti-codon, which is responsible for specific mRNA codon recognition, and the 3' end, to which the tRNAs corresponding amino acid is attached (by aminoacyl-tRNA synthetases). tRNAs cope with the degeneracy of the genetic code in two manners: having more than one tRNA (with a specific anti-codon) for a particular amino acid; and 'wobble' base-pairing, i.e. permitting non-standard base-pairing at the 3rd anti-codon position. The record is from RNAcentral. Lineage: Bacteria; Candidatus Moraniibacteriota. RNAcentral also lists the same sequence under 1 other name.
GCGCUGUUAGCUCAGUUGGUAGAGCAGUGGCCUCUUAAGCCAACGGUCGGGGGUUCGAAUCCCUCACAGCGCACCA